CGUAAUGCGCAUGCAAUCUACUUUACACUGGGGAAUAGCCUCCGGAAACGGGAAUUAAUACCCCAUAUAAUCUUACUGGCGCAUGCUAGAAAGAUGAAAGCUCAGGCGGUGUAAAAUGAGCGUGCGUCCUAUUAGCUAGUUGGAGAGGUAAUGGCUCACCAAGGCUACGAUGGGUAGGGGUUCUUAGUGGAAGGUCCCCCACACUGGCACUGAGAUACGGGCCAG
Molecule: ribosomal RNA, 225 nt
Filed under: uncultured bacterium
Lineage: Bacteria
Description: partial 16S ribosomal RNA
Rfam family: Bacterial small subunit ribosomal RNA
Source: RNAcentral